AAGGAGUCUAACAUAUAUGCGAGUAUUUGGGUGGCCAAACCAAGUGCGGAAUGAAAGAGAUAAGGUGGGAUCUACGGAGCGCCAUCGACCGGUCUUGAUUUUUUGAAGGAUAUGAGUAAGAGCAUAUCUGUUGGGACCCGAAAGAUGGUGAACUAUGCCUGAAUAGGGUGAAGCCAGAGGAAACUCUGGUGGAGGCUCGUAGCGAUUCUGACGUGCAAAUCGAUCGUCAAAUUUGGGUAUAGGGGCGAAAGACUAAUCGAACCAUCUAGUAGCUGGUUCC
RNAcentral lists this unclassified non-coding RNA (280 nucleotides) under uncultured fungus. RNAcentral describes it as "partial contains 5.8S rRNA, ITS2 and 28S rRNA". It matches the Rfam family "Eukaryotic large subunit ribosomal RNA", at positions 668 to 958 of the family's 3401-position model. The record is from RNAcentral. Lineage: Eukaryota; Fungi.